Molecule: long non-coding RNA, 1673 nt
Organism: Callithrix jacchus (white-tufted-ear marmoset)
Lineage: Eukaryota; Metazoa; Chordata; Mammalia; Primates; Cebidae
Source: RefSeq, a predicted model, not a curated record
CAGAAAAUGGGGUACCCACUGGGCUGCGGUAAGAAGUCUGCUGUGUUAUAUCGAAUUGAACGUCAUUGGAGAGGAGGCCUAGAUGUCUUUCCAGACCCUAAGAGUGCCAGCAGGCAGAGAUGCCUAGCUCUCUCAUGUACAUGACUUGCUUGCCCCCAUGACUAUAUCCAGUGCCCCACCAGCAGAGCGGGACAAUCACCUCCCUACCUGUGCAGAAUGAAGGAUAAAGAAAAAUAAUACCCAGAAAAGAAACGGCAUUUUCUACCUUUCAUGAAGAUAAAACUAACCUAAAUCAGGACUCACUGGGUCCUGUGAAACUCCUAAUGCUUGAGACACAGAUGAAUGGGAAGCCAUUGCAAAGACACAACGGCUUACAUCCUGUUUCCACACCUCAGAGUAAUCGCCAUGGCAUAACAGUGCUUGCUACGCGAAGGGCAUGUGAAAACAGCAUGAAGAGAAAUGAACAUAAUGUUUUGGGCCAUAUCUUUACAGUAAAACAUUUUCAAUGGAAAGUGGGGUCAACAGAAGGGAAGAAAUUUCUAUUUUCUUUCUUCAAGUUAUUUAGAUAAAUUGAAAUUAGUUUGACUUCUUUAUGGGCUAUUCUUUAAUUUAAAUUGUCCAAGAAGUUAGGUAGCCAACCACUAGUAACAUGAGUCCCAAGUUAUUCAAAGAUCCUUUUGUAAACCGAACUCUCUAGAGCCCAGUGGGUUGUAUGACUGAAUAGUAACUAUCCACGGCCACCUUAUUUUUGUGCUAUUGCAAUGUGAAGAACACCCAUGCUAUUAUUAUUCCCAAACUCUUCCAGAACUGUAUAAAGAAAUAUAAUCCUUUGGAGUUCAAGUUCAGUGGCCAGUUCCGGUAACAAAAUCGUAGACUACCACAUCCUCAAUUACUAUGAUUAAACACAGUAAUUUAAAUAACAGAGGAGAAAAGUAUAUUGAAUCUGCAGCCCAGUCCCUGUAAAUCUCUCUACUUCAAAGUACUAGUCCCUGCAGUCUUAUACAGCAUAAUAGUAACACAUGCUUUGCCACACUCACAGACUCUCAAGAGAAUAAAAAGAGAUGGUACUAGCACUUGCAAGCCAAACAUUCUUCACUCCAUCUCAGAGAGAAAUCUAAAAUCUCAAGUACAUGGUACAAAGAGGAGAGAUUUAAAAAAAAAAAAAAAGUGGAAAAUAGUAGAAAAACCACUGGCUUCAGACCCAAACCAAACUGUAUAAAUUCUGACGUUAUUGCCAUUUUAUUCUUAAGAAAUGUGUUUAGACUUCCUGAGUUUAUAUAAUGGGGAUCACACAAUCAAUUCUGUAGGAUUAUCGUAGGGGUUAAAGGAGAUGCCAAAGAGAUAUAAAAGAUUUAGUGUCGAUUCUUCCAUUAGAAGGUUCUCAAUAUGUGGCAACUAAAAUUACACAGAAUAUUCGAGGAAAGAAAUAAUGUCUCAAUCACGUAAACAUACAACUGAUGGGUAUUUUGCAGAAUGAACUGGAGGCUCUUUCUCAGCAACUUUAAAGAAAAGGUAUAUUUAAAGUGACGGAACAAUUGCAGAUAUAGAGUCUGAGAAUUUUCAUUGAGUAAUAGCAGUCAGGGCAGGCAAGUACAGCUUCGGAAGCAUGAGGAACACAGAAAAGAAUUAAAAGAAUCUAUACAGCAGAAGAGCAAAAGAAUUCUGAACAACAC